GAUGAACGCUGGCGGCGUGCCUAAUACAUGCAAGUCGAGCGAACAGACGAGGAGCUUGCUCCUCUGACGUUAGCGGCGGACGGGUGAGUAACACGUGGAUAACCUACCUAUAAGACUGGGAUAACUUCGGGAAACCGGAGCUAAUACCGGAUAAUAUAUUGAACCGCAUGGUUCAAUAGUGAAAGACGGUUUUGCUGUCACUUAUAGAUGGAUCCGCGCCGCAUUAGCUAGUUGGUAAGGUAACGGCUUACCAAGGCAACGAUGCGUAGCCGACCUGAGAGGGUGAUCGGCCACACUGGACCUGAGACACGGUCCAGACUCCUACGGGAGGCAGCAGUAGGGAAUCUACCGCAAUGGGCGAAAGCCUGACGGAGCAACGCCGCGUGAGUGAUGAAGGUCUUCGGAUCGUAAAACUCUGUUAUUAGGGAAGAACAAAUGUGUAAGUAACUAUGCACGUCUUGACGGUACCUAAUCAGAAAGCCACGGCUAACUACGU
RNAcentral lists this ribosomal RNA (496 nucleotides) under uncultured bacterium. RNAcentral describes it as "partial 16S ribosomal RNA". It matches the Rfam family "Bacterial small subunit ribosomal RNA", at positions 28 to 506 of the family's 1533-position model. The record is from RNAcentral.